UCCCUGCUCAGGCUGAUUGGAAUCCAGAGUACAGAUAUAAAAUAAAUAAGACUGUAAAUCAGCACAGUCAUUCCCGACAUCCUUUCUGAAGGAUUUUAACUUCCUAGCCUUAGAAUAUCAUUUCUCUGGGGAUGAGGAAAUAAAGGCUACUUUGAACAACAGUAUUGAAGUCCUGUGUCCUCCCUACCCCCUCCCUCUCCAACUCCAUUCUUAAGUAACCUUGGCCCAUUCAAUUCUUUUCUGCACAAAAUAAUCUGGCCAUUGAAAUCUGGGUGUUAUUUCAUUAAAUUGGUCUCAAUUGACAGACUCCUAAAGGACUAGAAGGAGAAAUUAAAACUGCUGCUCUAUUGUCCCUAUUGUAAAUGACCCCUUCAUUCUCAGUAAAAAAAAUUUCUCUUCUCAGGAAAAAUUCACUCUCUACUGAACUGCAAAAAAGAAAAAAAAAUACUUAGUUGUGCAAAAUAAAUUUUGAAAUCUCUCUUGGCAUUUUCUAUCAUUUUCUCCUUGAUUUUCUCUUCACAGAAAUUGUUUGGUGUCCUGCCUGCCUGCAGUGUCUCAUCACCAGAGCAUGCCAGAGCCAACUCAAAGGACUCUGAAGGUUGGUCUUCUAAGCUACAGAAGAGGACUGGUUGAGACUGGCCUUUCCCCAAAAGGAAUGGGAUGGACACAAAAGAACCACAGUUCUUCUACUGUUCUCACUUUAAAACCACCUCCUUUUGGAAUCACUAGCAGAGAUGGCCUCCCUUUGAAGAAUUGAUUUUUCUUAUGAAAAUCAGCUGAAGAGUUCCCCACCUCAGAGACUCAUCUAGCAUCUUAACUGGCCUGAUUUACAUAUGGAUCAUAUUAAUGGUACAGCUGAGGUCCUCAGAGUGUGUCCCACCACACCGUCAUCCCCUUUAGGCAUGGAUCACAUGCCUGCAAAUACCCCAUGUUGUCAAAAGUAAUGAUGGAAGCUACUGGUUUGUUUUUAUUGUUAUUAUUAAUAAUAAAUAUCUGUUAUAGAUUAUAUUCCA
This 1013-nucleotide long non-coding RNA is filed under the name Monodelphis domestica (gray short-tailed opossum). RNAcentral's name for it is "lncRNA (ENSMODG00000043777.1)". The record is from RNAcentral. Lineage: Eukaryota; Metazoa; Chordata; Mammalia; Didelphimorphia; Didelphidae.